RNAcentral lists this ribosomal RNA (503 nucleotides) under uncultured bacterium. Its description in RNAcentral is "bacterial SSU rRNA". It matches the Rfam family "Bacterial small subunit ribosomal RNA", at positions 28 to 501 of the family's 1533-position model. The record is from RNAcentral.
GACGAACGCUGGCGGCGUGCCUAACACAUGCAAGUCGAACGGAGAUUUACGUCAACACAAAGCUCUUCACGUAAGAGUAAUGUGGAGGGUUUUGAGUUGAUGUAAAUCUUAGUGGCGAACGGGUGAGUAACGCGUGAGCAACCUACCAAGGAGAGGGGGAUAACACAGAGAAAUCUGUGCUAAUACCGCAUAAAGUCACGAUAUCGCAUGGUAUGGUGAUGAAAGGGCUUUUGCCUGCUUCUUGAUGGGCUCGCGUCUGAUUAGCUAGUUGGUAGGGUAACGGCCUACCAAGGCGAUGAUCAGUAGCCGGGCUGAGAGGUUGACCGGCCACAUUGGGACUGAGACACGGCCCAGACUCCUACGGGAGGCAGCAGUGGGGAAUAUUGCGCAAUGGGGGGAACCCUGACGCAGCGACGCCGCGUGAAGGAAGAAGGUCUUCGGAUUGUAAACUUUUGUCUUUGGUGACGAUAAUGACGGUAGCCAAGGAGGAAGCCACGGCUAAC